Molecule: ribosomal RNA, 226 nt
Filed under: uncultured Rhodobacter sp.
Lineage: Bacteria; Pseudomonadati; Pseudomonadota; Alphaproteobacteria; Rhodobacterales
Description: partial 16S ribosomal RNA
Rfam family: Bacterial small subunit ribosomal RNA
Source: RNAcentral
CACGUAGGCGGACUGGAAAGUCAGAGGUGAAAUCCCAGGGCUCAACCUUGGAACUGCCUUUGAAACUCCCGGUCUUGAGGUCGAGAGAGGUGAGUGGAAUUCCGAGUGUAGAGGUGAAAUUCGUAGAUAUUCGGAGGAACACCAGUGGCGAAGGCGGCUCACUGGCUCGAUACUGACGCUCAAAUGCGAAAGCGUGGGGAUCAAACAGGAUUAGAUACCCCGAGUA